RNAcentral lists this ribosomal RNA (924 nucleotides) under uncultured Acidobacteriota bacterium. Its description in RNAcentral is "bacterial SSU rRNA". It matches the Rfam family "Bacterial small subunit ribosomal RNA", at positions 28 to 925 of the family's 1533-position model. The record is from RNAcentral. Lineage: Bacteria; Pseudomonadati; Acidobacteriota.
AAUCAACGCUGGCGGCGUGCCUAACACAUGCAAGUCGAACGCGAAAGGGGCUUCGGCCCUGAGUAGAGUGGCGAACGGGUGAGUAACACGUGGGUGAUCUACCUCUGAGUGGGGGAUAACGUUCCGAAAGGAGCGCUAAUACCGCAUGACGUCCCGGGUUUGAAGACCUGGACACCAAAGUCGGGGACCGCAAGGCCUGACGCUUGGAGAGGAGCCCGCGCCUGAUUAGCUAGUUGGUGAGGUCAUGGCUCACCAAGGCGACGAUCAGUAGCCGGCCUGAGAGGGCGGACGGCCACACUGGGACUGAGACACGGCCCAGACUCCUACGGGAGGCAGCAGUGGGGAAUUGUUCGCAAUGAGCGCAAGCCUGACGACGCAACGCCGCGUGGAGGAUGAAGGUCUUCGGAUUGUAAACUCCUGUUGACCGGGACGAAUGGACUCCGACCUAACACGUCGGGGUAAUGACGGUACCGGUUGAGGAAGCCACGGCUAACUCUGUGCCAGCAGCCGCGGUAAUACAGAGGUGGCAAGCGUUGUUCGGAAUUACUGGGCGUAAAGGGCGCGUAGGCGGCCGCCUAAGUCAGACGUGAAAUCCCCAGGCUUAACUUGGGAACUGCGUCUGAUACUGGGUGGCUUGAGUUCGGGAGAGGAAUGUGGAAUUCCAGGUGUAGCGGUGAAAUGCGUAGAUAAGCGGUGAAAUGCGUAGAUAUCUGGAGGAACACCGGUGGCGAAGGCGGCAUUCUGGACCGAAACUGACGCUGAGGCGCGAAAGCCAGGGGAGCAAACGGGAUUAGAUACCCCGGGUAGUCUGGCCUAACGAUGAGUGCUUGAGUGAGGGUAUCGAUCCUGCCGUGCCGAGCUACGCAUAGCACUUCGGCUUGGAGUACGUCCAAGCUGACUCAAUGAAAUUGACGGGGGCACUCU